RNAcentral lists this unclassified non-coding RNA (433 nucleotides) under soil metagenome. RNAcentral describes it as "partial contains 5.8S ribosomal RNA, internal transcribed spacer 2, and large subunit ribosomal RNA". The stretch from base 1 to 120 matches the Rfam family "5.8S ribosomal RNA", at positions 35 to 154 of the family's 154-position model. The record is from RNAcentral.
GAUGAAGAACGUAGUGAAAUGCGAUACGUAAUGUGAAUUGCAGAAUUCAGUGAAUCAUCGAAUCUUUGAACGCAUAUUGCGCUCUCUGGUAUUCCGGAGAGCAUGCUUGUUUGAGUAUCAGUAAACACCUCAACUUCCAUAUCUUUUUUGAAAUGGGAGUUGGACUUGAGUGAUCCCAACGCUUUUCCUCACCGAAAAGUGGCGGGUUACUUGAAAUGCAGGUGCAGCUGGACUUUUCUCUGAGCUAUAAGCAUAUCUAUUUAGUCUGCCUAAAAAACAGAUUAUUACCUUUGCUGCAGCUAACAUAAAGGAGAUUAGUUCUUGUGCUGACUGAUGCAGGAUUCACAAAGACAGGCUUCGGCCGACUUUGUAAACUCGAUCUCAAAUCAAGUAAGACUACCCGCUGAACUUAAGCAUAUCAAUAAGCGGAGGA